GACGAACGCUGGCGGCGUGCUUAACACAUGCAAGUCGAGCGGUAAGGCCCCUUCGGGGGUACACGAGCGGCGAACGGGUGAGUAACACGUGAGCAAUCUGCCCAUCACAUCGGGAUAACUCCGGGAAACCGAAGCUAAUACCGAAUACGACCACCUCCGGCAUCGGCUGGUGGUGGAAAGUUCCGGCGGUGAUGGAUGAGCUCGCGGCCUAUCAGCUUGUUGGUGGGGUAACGGCCCACCAAGGCUUCGACGGGUAGCCGGCCUGAGAGGGUGACCGGCCACACUGGGACUGAGACACGGCCCAGACUCCUACGGGAGGCAGCAGUGGGGAAUAUUGGACAAUGGGCGAAAGCCUGAUCCAGCAACGCCGCGUGAGGGAUGACGGCCUUCGGGUUGUAAACCUCUUUCAGCAGGGACGAAGCGCAAGUGACGGUACCUGCAGAAGAAGCACCGGCCAACUACGUG
Molecule: ribosomal RNA, 465 nt
Filed under: uncultured bacterium
Lineage: Bacteria
Description: partial 16S ribosomal RNA
Rfam family: Bacterial small subunit ribosomal RNA
Source: RNAcentral